RNAcentral lists this long non-coding RNA (1385 nucleotides) under Penaeus japonicus. RNAcentral describes it as "uncharacterized LOC122254536, transcript variant X1". Lineage: Eukaryota; Metazoa; Arthropoda; Malacostraca; Decapoda; Penaeidae. The record is from RNAcentral.
GCGAAGGAUCCAUCUUCAUUAACACUAAAGAUGUGCUAUUCUGUGCUGCUACUAGUUUUUUACCUGCAGCUAAUAAGAGUAAUUACCAAAAAAUUGUAAUUUUGAAGCCUUUUAUGUGAAUGAUCUGUCCUGGUUGCAUAAAAAUCAUUAGAGGGAAAGAUCCAUCUUCAUUAACACUAUCUGUCCUGUUUGCAUAAAGAUCACCAGAGCGAAGGAUCCAUCUUCAUUAACACUAAAGAUGUGCUAUUCUGUGCUGCUACUAGUUUUUUUACCUGCAGCUAAUAAGAGUAAUUACCAAAAAAUUGCAGUUUUGAAGCCUUUUAUGUGAAUGAUCUGUCCUAUUUGCAUAAAGAUCACCAGAGCGAAGGAUCCAUCUUCAUUAACACUAAAGAUGUGCUAUUCUGUGCUGCUACAAAUUUACCCUGUGUUUUAUAAUAGUAAUUGCUGAAAAAUUGCAAGUCAUAUCCGAAGAUAUUGGCCUUUCACAAGUUUUGUUCAUCCCGAUACAUUAGUUCCAUGUGAUUUCGUGUAUUAUUAGUUUGUGCAUAUUGAAGUGUUCUUGGUUUUAAGGCUAAAGAUGUAGUUCUGGAACUUGGAAUCUGACAGUUAUUUUGAUAUUUUGGCUGUAAGAUGUCUUUUUAAACCAAUAGGUAUAGAUAGAUUUGUUCUUAAGGUUGUGACUAGCUUUGUCAAAAGCCUGCCAUCCUUGUGAUAUUUUCUUGAUAAUUAAGUUUAUUUCUAAGGCCAGAAGUGUCUUCAUGCAAUGGUUCGUCAUUCCCACACUGGAAGAAACUGCUUGGCCUCGGAGGCAGUCCGCACAUUAUUUGGAAAUUGUAUUGUUUUAAUAGUAUGUAAUACAUAAACUCCUAUAACAUUUUAUUUGAAUAAAUUUGAUUAGAUAUUUGUAAAUCAUUUGCCAUAUUUUUAGAUGUAAUAUUACAUAUAAAUCAUUGCAUUGAUAGAGUAUGAACAAAGUGCUUUUAGAAAGAACUUUGCAUGCAUAAAAUUAAACUGAAUUUCAAUUAUUGUAAAUGUCAUGUAUUUGGAUUAUCCCUGUAGUGUCCUUAUUUUUGAAAUGGCAAGAUUGGAAGUUGGCAUUCUGUGAAUUAUCCUGCUAUGAAGAGUUGGUGCUUUACUUGAUAAACUGCAGUAGGCUUGAAUAUCUAAACUUAUUGAUAGCCAAGGGACCCAUAAUAUCGACCCCUUACUCUUAUGCUGGCUAAUGGGACACUUCUCUGAACACCUUAUAGCAUUAUGUUGAAAUGUGGUAGCAUGGAAGGAAUGUUUAGAAACUAAAAUGUCUGCAUGUUUAAAUACAUUUCCAGACUGAUGUUGACUAUCAAACAAAUGUAUUGAAAAAUUAAUAAAAACAGUUCUUGUAUUUA